This 464-nucleotide ribosomal RNA is filed under the name uncultured bacterium. RNAcentral's name for it is "partial 16S ribosomal RNA". It matches the Rfam family "Bacterial small subunit ribosomal RNA", at positions 28 to 507 of the family's 1533-position model. The record is from RNAcentral.
GAUGAACGCUGGCGGCGUGCUAACACAUGCAAGUCGAACGGAAAGGCCCAAGCUUGCUUGGGUACUCGAGUGGCGAACGGGUGAGUAACACGUGGGUGAUCUGCCCUGCACUUCGGGAUAAGCCUGGGAAACUGGGUCUAAUACCGGAUAGGACCACAUUUUGGAUGGUGUGGUGGAAAGUUUUUCGGUGUGGGAUGAGCUCGCGGCCUAUCGGCUUGUUGGUGGGGUAAUGGCCUACCAAGGCGUCGACGGGUAGCCGGCCUGAGAGGGUGUACGGCCACAUUGGGACUGAGAUACGGCCCAGACUCCUACGGGAGGCAGCAGUGGGGAAUAUUGCACAAUGGGCGCAAGCCUGAUGCAGCGACGCCGCGUGGGGGAUGACGGCCUUCGGGUUGUAAACUCCUUUCGCUAGGGACGAAGCGCAAGUGACGGUACCUGGAGAAGAAGCACCGGCUAACUACGUG